GCCGCUGAGUUUAAGCAUAUAAAUAAGCGGAGGAGAAGGAACUUACAAGGAUUCCCCUAGUAACGGUGAGCGAACCCGGA
This 80-nucleotide non-coding RNA is filed under the name Triticum aestivum (bread wheat). Its description in RNAcentral is "Eukaryotic large subunit ribosomal RNA". It matches the Rfam family "Eukaryotic large subunit ribosomal RNA", at positions 24 to 103 of the family's 3401-position model. Lineage: Eukaryota; Viridiplantae; Streptophyta; Magnoliopsida; Poales; Poaceae. RNAcentral also lists the same sequence under 1 other name. The record is from Rfam by way of RNAcentral.